GAUGAACGCUGGCGGCGUGCCUAAUACAUGCAAGCCGAGCGAACGGACGAGAAGCUUGCUUCUCUGAUGUUAGCGGCGGACGGGUGAGUAACACGUGGAUAACCUACCUAUAAGACUGGGAUAACUUCGGGAAACCGUAGCUAAUACCAGAUAAUAUUUUGAACCGCAUGGUUCAAAAGUGAAAGACGGUCUUGCUGUCACUUAUAGAUGGAUCCGCGCUGCAUUAGCUAGUUGGUAAGGUAACGGCUUACCAAGGCAACGAUGCAUAGCCGACCUGAGAGGGUGAUCGGCCACACUGGAACUGAGACACGGUCCAGACUCCUACGGGAGGCAGCAGUAGGGAAUCUUCCGCAAUGGGCGAAAGCCUGACGGAGCAACGCCGCGUGAGUGAUGAAGGUCUUCGGAUCGUAAAACUCUGUUAUUAGGGAAGAACAUAUGUGUAAGUAACUGUGCACAUCUUGACGGUACCUAAUCAGAAAGCCACGGCUAACUACGUG
Molecule: ribosomal RNA, 497 nt
Filed under: uncultured bacterium
Lineage: Bacteria
Description: partial 16S ribosomal RNA
Rfam family: Bacterial small subunit ribosomal RNA
Source: RNAcentral